Molecule: non-coding RNA, 79 nt
Organism: Albula goreensis
Lineage: Eukaryota; Metazoa; Chordata; Actinopteri; Albuliformes; Albulidae
Source: the annotation of a GenBank genome assembly
AGCAGUGUAGCGUAAUGGUUAAGGUGCUGGCUUUGCAAUGCAGGGGUCAUGAGUUCAAUUCUCAGAGUGAAUGAUGCUG